RNAcentral lists this ribosomal RNA (484 nucleotides) under uncultured bacterium. Its description in RNAcentral is "partial 16S ribosomal RNA". It matches the Rfam family "Bacterial small subunit ribosomal RNA", at positions 29 to 507 of the family's 1533-position model. The record is from RNAcentral.
AUUGAACGCUGGCGGCAUGCCUUACACAUGCAAGUCGAACGGCAGCAAGGGAGCAAUCCUGGUGGCGAGUGGCGAACGGGUGAGUAAUACAUCGGAACGUGCCCAAUCGUGGGGGAUAACGCAGCGAAAGCUGUGCUAAUACCGCAUACGAUCUACGGAUGAAAGAAGGGGACCGCAAGGCCUUGCGCGAAUGGAGCGGCCGAUGGCAGAUUAGGUAGUUGGUGGGGUAAAGGCUCACCAAGCCAACGAUCUGUAGCUGGUCUGAGAGGACGACCAGCCACACUGGGACUGAGACACGGCCCAGACUCCUACGGGAGGCAGCAGUGGGGAAUUUUGGACAAAGGGCGCAAGCCUGAUCCAGCCAUGCCGCGUGCAGGAUGAAGGCCUUCGGGUUGUAAACUGCCUUUGUACGGAGCGAAACGGCCUUUUCUAAUAAAGAGGGCUAAUGACGGUACCGUAAGAAUAAGCACCGGCUAACUACGUG